RNAcentral lists this ribosomal RNA (253 nucleotides) under uncultured bacterium. RNAcentral's name for it is "partial 16S ribosomal RNA". It matches the Rfam family "Bacterial small subunit ribosomal RNA", at positions 524 to 776 of the family's 1533-position model. The record is from RNAcentral.
UACGUAGGGUGCGAGCGUUGUCCGGAAUUAUUGGGCGUAAAGAGCUUGUAGGCGGUUUGUCGCGUCUGCUGUGAAAAUCCGGGGCUCAACCCCGGACUUGCAGUGGGUACGGGCAGACUAGAGUGUGGUAGGGGAGACUGGAAUUCCUGGUGUAGCGGUGAAAUGCGCAGAUAUCAGGAGGAACACCGAUGGCGAAGGCAGGUCUCUGGGCCACUACUGACGCUGAGAAGCGAAAGCGUGGGGAGCGAACCGG